This is a long non-coding RNA of Cyprinus carpio carpio, 5299 nucleotides long. Lineage: Eukaryota; Metazoa; Chordata; Actinopteri; Cypriniformes; Cyprinidae. The record is from Ensembl.
AUGCAUACUGUGAUGCACUUUCUCAAUAUGCCAGUUGUCACUGCAAGUUACUGUGGUGGCAUUUUGCCAGCUGCUUACCCAUCCGUUGCAGCUUUUAUCUUUUUUCUCUUCUUAGUUCUCAGUCCGAGGUCACGUGUGUCAGACACUUCCCCAUUAAUCUUAAUUCUGUCGGGUAUAUGCUCUGUAAUGCUCUCUCUCUUCUUUCAUGUCCGUCUUUUUCCUUACAUAGUCACUGCAGGGUUGGGUAAAAUUCUGAAUUUCUUUCAGUUCCUGAGUUGGAAUUUGAACUGGAAUGACAGGAAAUUGAAACUAUUGAAUUGCAGUUUAGAUAAAUUAAACAUGGUCACACAACAAAGGAAUUUAAUUAGUUAUGCAACAAUUCAAAAGAAUCAUCAAUAGCGUUUUGGGUGACAUGAUUAAUCAAUUUGUCUUUGUGUAUUUGGAUGAUAUUCUGAUUUUCUCCCCCUCUCUCCAAUUACACACCCAGCACGUCACACGGGUCCUCCAGCGUCUCUUAGAGAACCAGUUGUUCGUCAAGGCGGAGAAGUGCGAAUUCCACGCCGAGUCUGUUACGUUCCUUGUCCAUAUCAUCUCUACCAAGGGGAUUAAACGAGACCCUGCCAAGAUAGAAGCAGUCGCCAAGUGACCAGUCCCUGAUUCCCAUAAGGCUCUGCAGCAUUUCCUGUAUUUUGCCAACUUCUAUCGGCAAAACAUCAAGAAUUUUGGCCAGAUCGCUGCACCUCUCACAGCUUUAAACUCCACCAAGGUGUCCUUCAGAUGGAACCAGGAUGUUCAGGUAGCCUUUGACAUAUUAAAGUCCCGUUUUGUCUCCGCACCUGUUCUGUUGGUUCCAGAUCCUGAGGCCCAGUUCAUUGUCGAGGUAGACGCUUCGGACGUCGGGUUGGCACAGUUCAAUCUCAGCGUUCCCUCCACGAUGGGAAGGUGCAUCCCUGUGCAUUCUUCUCUCACCGUCUGAGCCCUGCAGAACGUAAUUAUGACAUUGGCAAUAGAGAACUGUUGGCAGUGAGGUUUGCCUUGGGUGAGUGGCGUCACUGGUUGGAGGGGUCAGCGCAGCCCUUCUUGGUCAAGAACCUUGAAUAUAUCCAUUCGGCCAAGAAGUUGAGCUCACGUCAGGCCCGCUGGGUGCUCUUCUUUGGUCGAUUGAACUUCACCCUCUCGUACCGGCCGGGAUCUAAGAACAUCAAGCCCGAUGCUCUCUCGCACCUGUUCGGGGCCCCAAAGGGGGAGCUUUCAGCAGAAGCCAUCCUUUCUGAAGGGGUGGUGGUCGGGGCUCUUUCUUGGGGCAUCAAGCAGCGACUUGAGGAGGCCGGUCGAGGGGUGCAAGUGCCUGGGAGGUGCCUGCGGGCAGUUUGCCGGUGUCAGCUGCACUGCGCCCUGAGGUCCUUCAGUGGGGGAUCCAGGGAUUCAGAGAACAUUGUUUGCCAUCCGUCAAAGCUUCUGGUGGCCUGCUUUGGCUGCGGAUGUCAGACAGUUCUUGUUGGCCUGCCCCACAUGUGCCCAAUGUAAGCCAGUGAAUCACCCUCCUGAUGGUCUGCUUAAUCCUCUUCCUGCCCCUUCCCGUCCUUGGUCACACAUUGCCCUUGAUUUUGUCUUUGGGCUUCCCCUAUCGAAGGGUAACACUGUGAUUCUCAUUGUGGUGGAUCGCUUUUCUAAGGCGGUUCAUUUCAUUCCCCUGCCCAAACUGCCCUCCACCCAGGAGACUGCCCAACCGGUUGUGGAUCACGUCUUCCGUCUCCAUGGUUUGGCGUCGGAUGUGGUUUCACAUAGGGGUCCUCAGUUCACCUCCCGGUUCUGGAAAGAGUUUUGUAGACAGAUCGGGGCCUCUGCAAGUCUGUCUCUUGAAAGAAUGCUCCGCUGUCUGACAUCCAACAAUCCAAGUUCCUGGUGCUAACAGCUCUCUUGGAUAUAAUACGCUCAUAAUUCCCUUCCAGUGGCGGCUUCAGGUAUGUCUCCUUUUGAGUGUGCUGUAGGUUAUAAACCGCUUCUGUUUUCAUCACAGGAACCUGAUGCUGCAGUUCCGUCCGCCCUGCUGCCGUACCUGGGAGAAAGUCAGGAGGGUUUUGGUUAGCCGUCCCGGGACAUUUUGGACCGUUCGUUGAUCGAGGACUUCCAUCGGCGACGAGGUAGGCCUCCUCCUGGGGCACCUGGUGGCGCUCCUGGGAGGGGGGUACUGUCGGGUCUCUGGUCUAAUCACCUGUUCUUUGGUUUGGGUUUUGAGUGUUGUGUGUGUGUGUGUGUGUGUGUGUGUGUGUGUGUGGAUUGUUUGACAGCUCGCUACGUGCGCAUUGUCGGUGUAAUUGUUUCCCCGCCCUCCUUGUUUCUCUUCUCAUUAACUUAUUUUGUUCUCCCACCUGGUCCUUGUUACCUCUAAUUUCUCCCCUUUAUAGUUCCUUGUGUUUCUCUGUCGUUUGUCAGACUGUUGUGGUUAAUCCCAAUUGCUCUGAAUGUCUUGCUGGUCUUGCUUACCUAUCAUGUCUUGUCUUGUCAGGCUCCAGUGCUCGUAGCUGUAUUGUUUUCUGCCCCUCUCCCUGUGCUCAGUUUCCCAAGGAUUUCCCUUUGAGUUUCAUCCACCCUGGGUCUCAGCGGUCGUGUUAGUGGAUGCUCAGCCUCUCACUCAGAAGGAAGCAUUAAGUGCUCCAAAAUUUCUUGGUAAACGAGUGCAGUGACUUUGGUUUUCAAAAAACACAAUGGACCAACACCAGCAGAUGACAUUGCCCCCCAAAUCAUCACAGACUGUGGAAACUUAACACUGGACUUCAAGCAACUAUGAGCUUCUCCACCCUUCCUCUAGACUCUAGGACCUUGGUUUCCAAAUGAAAUACAAAACUUGCUCUAAUCUGAAAAAAAGGACUUUGGACCACUGGGCAACAGUCCAGGUCUUCUUCUCCUUAGCCCAGGUAAGACGCCUCUGACGUGGUUUAACAAGAGGAAUACGACAACUGUAGCCAAAUUCCUUGACAAGUCUGUGUGUGGAUAUAUACAUACAUAUAUAUAUAUAUAUAUAUAUAUAUAUAUAUAUAUAUAUAUAUAUAUAUAUAUAUAUAUAUAUAUAUAUGCUAAGUAGAAACUACCUUUAUUCUCAGAAACAAAUAUGAAGCACAUUAGCUUCAGAAACAGGCUUUGUAACGACAUUUAGCAGAGUAAAAUUUGAUUGAGAAUAUAUCAUAUUUCCAGCAGAUCUGUUUUGAGACAGUCCCUACGAGCGCUGAUGUUUUAGUUAUUUCACAGCUAAAGCUUGUAUGCACAAAGCCCACGCACCGGAAGAUGGAUUGCAGUGUUCAAAGACACCUACAAGAGGGGUCAUAUGACAAAGGAUUUGCUCUCUUUGAGCUAAUAAGCACAAGAAAGUAUGAGGAAUGAAAGCAAAUGACUUUGAGGAUUUAAAGGAAGGAGGGAGGUUCUUAAUCACAAACGCUUCCCCUCCCCAUGCCACUGUAGGUCUUUCUUCUUCCUCCUCAGCCUCUUACUUUCUUCCUCAUCCCUCUAUUAAUUCCUCUCCCCCUGUGUUCCAGAGAGGGAGAGAGGAUCUCCCAGGGGGUUUGCACAUCUGCUUUGAUCAGGGUGUCAGCGUGAGUGUGUCUGUGUGUUUCUUGUUGGUGCGCAUUUGUGCUAAAUAAAUCAUUUACACUAUGAGUACCUCGCUAGCUUUCAGGCCUCUCUAAAGACUUACAUCAUGCAGUGCCACAAGGACAUUUUCUGAAUCCUGCAUCUGCAGGAUUGACAAUGGUUCGGAUGGCCCCCUGUGGCGUUCCUGCUUGCUCUCUGUCAUUAAACACUUCCUCUCUGGAGGAACAACCCAGGAAUGAACAAAUCUGAUGUCAUAUCUAUAAACAAUGGGUAAUUUGAGUUGUCUUUGAUACAGAGUGUGUGUGUGUGUAUCCAAGGAUCCCGCUGUAUUAGGGCCGUCUGGAUGCGUUAUCGAGAGACGUGUAACUGACAGGCAAGUCAGCAACUUAGUGCAACACUUUGUACUCCUGUGCAAACAAAGUUUUGGCAUCAAAAAAAGGCUGUAAAUGGACUUUACAGAGUUUGGCUCCAAAGUCAAUGUUGCUUAGAUCACUAUAACAGUGAUUUGUUCAGAAAAGUGUUUCUUUUUUUUUAAGUGAGAUGUUUGACUCAUUACCAGCCCUUAUCCUAAUUCAGUGCUUAAUAGCCUAAGAAAAAACACUGAAAUACAUCACAAAAUCAGCUCAUCACACCUUGUUUUCUUGCUUAUGGCUUUCAGUGCUGUCGUUUGAAUGCUGCUGGCUUAAUAUAAACAUCAGUGGGUGUAGGCUGUCUCACAGUAUACUUAUACCACUUUCUGUUUCCAAAAUUUCAACUGAUGCAAAAUAUGAUGAAAAUAGAAUCCUGUUGUCUAUAUUGCCAGUUUUAGAUCUGUUUUAUUUUAUGUACACUACCACUCAAAAGAUUAAAAAUAAAUAAAUGUUGCUGACCCCAAACUUUUGACCAGUAGUGCAUGUGCUUUUAUGUUGGUCACACCAGAGCUAAAUUGUGAUACAUGAAAACAUUUUUUUUUUUUUUUUUUUUUUUUAGUUUUUAAUGAUGUAUAUGUAGCUAAUGCGAAUCCUUGAAUUUAUCACAUAUACUUUCAGAUAAAAUACUUUUUAUGAUUUCUAUUAAAAAUUAUCAGUUAAAAAGUGCCUGUCCAAGGUGCAUCCAUCAGUAGUUUUGUAGUACCUGCCAAAUAGGGAAACAAGCCCCUAGUUAAAGAGGCUCAAGUUCACCUCAUGUAAAGAUCCACUUUUGCUAAAACACUGUAAGAUUGUCAAAGAAGAAAGAUGCAGAAUGUCUGCAGUGCUGCUAAUAAUUUUCUAUAAUUAAGGAAUAGAUUUGUUGCCAAGGAUGUACAAAAUGGGCCCACACUGUGUUCCAGUCACAUUUGCGAUUAAUUUGUGAAAUAUGUCUGCACUCAUACUUUGUAUCUCCAAGAUGUACAGCAAGCUGUACUAGAAACUAAAUAAUAGAAGAGAUUUUAUAAAAUACCAGAGAGAUUAUGAAAUGCCAAGACAGCUUAAGUUAACUGGAAAUUGUUACCCAAUUUGCUUAAGUGCUUAUUUUAAAUAAGUAUGCUCUAAAAAGCAGAUAACCUAAAUAAAAAAAUAAAUAAAAAUAAAUAAAUAAAUAAAAAUAAUAAUAAUAAUAAUAAUAAUAAUAAUACAGUGCUUACAAAUGGGGACAAAGUUUACUGUAUAUAUAUAUAUAUAUAUAUAUAUAUAUAUAUAUAUAUAUAUAUAUAUAUAUAUAUUAUUAAAAAUAAACAUCAUUUAGCAUUUCU